Long non-coding RNA from Homo sapiens (human), 483 nucleotides. The record is from Ensembl. Lineage: Eukaryota; Metazoa; Chordata; Mammalia; Primates; Hominidae.
GCACUUUCCUGAUUCCUUCAGGGAAACAUCUGCCUACUUGAAGCUCUCAUAAUGAAGCACUGUCAAAUUACUGAAAGGCUGCACAUCAUCCAAUAAUUAACCUGGAAAGAUCACUUGCCAAUGGCGUUCUGCCAUGACAAACAGAUGUUCCUGCUACCUAUCUGAAAAAGAGGUCAAAUGUUCUGAAGUAGACAUACUCUGUGUUCCUUCCUGCUCCCUGGCACAUCAGUACCAAGUUUCUCAUGUCAUGUCAACUUCGAUUUCAAUUUUACCCCAGGACACAUGCACCUCAGCAUGGUCAGCUCAGCAGUAUAUCAAUGAUGGCAAAAUUUAACAGCCUUUAAAAGAGAGCUGGAUGAAAAGGAUUCCGAACUGCUUUUCAGGACAUCCAUGAAUCAUCUGCUUUCAAUGGAGUGAUAUUUUAGAAUCACCCACUCAAGUUGACACCAAUUCUGAAUGGUGAGGUCUCACCCUUCUUAUGAA